This 109-nucleotide ribosomal RNA is filed under the name Lepisosteus oculatus (spotted gar). The record is from RNAcentral. Lineage: Eukaryota; Metazoa; Chordata; Actinopteri; Semionotiformes; Lepisosteidae.
GCCAGCAACCAUAUCACCCUGGAACUCACAACCGGCAACCAAGCAGGUGUGAGCCUGGUCAGUACCCGGAUGGGAGACCUCCUGGGAAAAACUAAAGUUGCUGCUGGAA